UCUUAAAGACUGUUCUCAGUUCGGACUGCAGUCUGCAACUCGACUGCACGAAGCUGGAAUCGCUAGUAAUCGCGGAUCAGCACGCCGCGGUGAAUACGUUCCCGGGCCUUGUACACACCGCCCGUCACACCAUGGAAGUCUGCAAUGCCCGAAGCCGGUGGCCUAACCACUUAUGUGGAAGGAGCCGUCUAAGGCAGGGCAGAUGACUGGGGUGAAGUCGUAACAAGGUAUC
Molecule: ribosomal RNA, 232 nt
Filed under: uncultured bacterium
Lineage: Bacteria
Description: partial 16S ribosomal RNA
Rfam family: Bacterial small subunit ribosomal RNA
Source: RNAcentral